AGUGAUCAAAAUUUAAAAGAUCUAGCUGAAGCUGAAAUAGUGGGUUGGUCUACCGCCCGGAUACCAGGGUGGUUCGGGAUCUCUAAACUAGGUUAACUUGGAUUCAAGCAAUAAAAAAAGCAAAGCUUACAUUAGGAUUCCUGAGCCUGUCUAGAGAGAGAAAGAGAAAGAGGAGAAAGAAUCUCCACUCAAGUUCAACCAGAAUUCUGGGUUUGGUCCGUUGAUGGCACAGGGUAUCUUGGAACAACAUGCCUGGCCCAUGAAUUAGGAGAGAGAAGAUGAUUUAUGAACUAUUCCAUAGCUAAAUAAAUGAAUACAUAAAUGAAAGGGAAUAAAAGAAUUAGAAGAAGAGGAAAAAGAUAGAACUGAAGGGAAGAGAGGAGAGGGAGAAGAGAAGAAAGAGAGAAGAGAGAAGAAGGACCGACGGUGGCCGAGCCUUGGUGGCGGGGAUCGAUGGCCAGCUGACAGCAGCCAGCUGCGGCUGCGGUGAUCGAUGAGAAGAGAGAUGCCAAGGACUUGGCUCGAAACAGAGGAGCGGGCUCAGAUUGGCUAGGAACAAAAGAACAAGGGGAAAAGAAGCUCACCAGUGAGCGGCGGAGAUGGAGGUUCUCAGUCAAGGAUAGCUCAGUCCGGCGAGCUAG
RNAcentral lists this long non-coding RNA (641 nucleotides) under Phoenix dactylifera (date palm). RNAcentral describes it as "long non-coding RNA (PDAC_LNC002085)". The record is from RNAcentral. Lineage: Eukaryota; Viridiplantae; Streptophyta; Magnoliopsida; Arecales; Arecaceae.